This 624-nucleotide ribosomal RNA is filed under the name Thanatephorus sp. CBS 523.96. RNAcentral's name for it is "eukaryotic LSU rRNA". The stretch from base 196 to 349 matches the Rfam family "5.8S ribosomal RNA". Lineage: Eukaryota; Fungi; Basidiomycota; Agaricomycetes; Cantharellales; Ceratobasidiaceae. The record is from RNAcentral.
GAGGAGUUGAGUUGUUGCUGGCCUCUGGGGAUUAGUUUCUCCAAGGCAUGUGCACACCUUCUCUUUCAUCCACACACCCCUGUGCACUUGUGAGACAGUAAGGUUUCUUUUUUUGGGGGGCCUUGCUGUCUACUUAAUCUACACACACUCUAUUUAUUUUAAAACGAAUGUAAUUGAUGUAACGCAUCUAAUACUAAGUUUCAACAACGGAUCUCUUGGCUCUCGCAUCGAUGAAGAACGCAGCGAAAUGCGAUAAGUAAUGUGAAUUGCAGAAUUCAGUGAAUCAUCGAAUCUUUGAACGCACCUUGCGCUCCUUGGUAUUCCUUGGAGCAUGCCUGUUUGAGUAUCAUGAAAUCUUCAAAGUAAACCUUUUUUGUUAAUUCAAUUUAGGUCUCUUACUUUGGUCUUGGAGGUUAUUGCAGCUUCACACCUGCUCCUCUUUGUGCAUUAGCUGGAUCUCAGUGUUAUGCUUGGUUCCACUCAGCGUGAUAAGUUAUCUAUCGCUGAGGACACUGGUAAAAAGGUGGCCAAGGUAAACGCAGAUGAACCGCUUCCAAUAGUCCAUUGACUUGGACAAUUAUUUAUGAUCUGAUCUCAAAUCAGUAGACUACCCGCUGAACUUAA